This 1028-nucleotide ribosomal RNA is filed under the name Salmonella enterica subsp. enterica serovar Enteritidis. RNAcentral's name for it is "partial 23S ribosomal RNA". It matches the Rfam family "Bacterial large subunit ribosomal RNA", at positions 149 to 1218 of the family's 2925-position model. The record is from RNAcentral. Lineage: Bacteria; Pseudomonadati; Pseudomonadota; Gammaproteobacteria; Enterobacterales; Enterobacteriaceae.
UAUCAUUAACUGAAUCCAUAGGUUAAUGAGGCGAACCGGGGGAACUGAAACAUCUAAGUACCCCGAGGAAAAGAAAUCAACCGAGAUUCCCCCAGUAGCGGCGAGCGAACGGGGAGGAGCCCAGAGCCUGAAUCAGCAUGUGUGUUAGUGGAAGCGUCUGGAAAGGCGCGCGAUACAGGGUGACAGCCCCGUACACAAAAGCGCAUGUGCUGUGAGCUCGAUGAGUAGGGCGGGACACGUGGUAUCCUGUCUGAAUAUGGGGGGACCAUCCUCCAAGGCUAAAUACUCCUGACUGACCGAUAGUGAACCAGUACCGUGAGGGAAAGGCGAAAAGAACCCCGGCGAGGGGAGUGAAAAAGAACCUGAAACCGUGUACGUACAAGCAGUGGGAGCACCCUUUGGGUGUGACUGCGUACCUUUUGUAUAAUGGGUCAGCGACUUAUAUUCUGUAGCAAGGUUAACCGAAUAGGGGAGCCGGAGGGAAACCGAGUCUUAAUUGGGCGUUAAGUUGCAGGGUAUAGACCCGAAACCCGGUGAUCUAGCCAUGGGCAGGUUGAAGGUUGGGUAACACUAACUGGAGGACCGAACCGACUAAUGUUGAAAAAUUAGCGGAUGACCUGUGGCUGGGGGUGAAAGGCCAAUCAAACCGGGAGAUAGCUGGUUCUCCCCGAAAGCUAUUUAGGUAGCGCCUCGUGAAUUCAUCUCCGGGGGUAGAGCACUGUUUCGGCUAGGGGGCCAUCCCGGCUUACCAACCCGAUGCAAACUGCGAAUACCGGAGAAUGUUAUCACGGGAGACACACGGCGGGUGCUAACGUCCGUCGUGAAGAGGGAAACAACCCAGACCGCCAGCUAAGGUCCCAAAGUCAUGGUUAAGUGGGAAACGAUGUGGGAAGGCCCAGACAGCCAGGAUGUUGGCUUAGAAGCAGCCAUCAUUUAAAGAAAGCGUAAUAGCUCACUGGUCGAGUCGGCCUGCGCGGAAGAUGUAACGGGGCUAAACCAUGCACCGAAGCUGCGGCAGCGACACUGUG